AUACGUAGGUGGCAAGCGUUGUCCGGCAUUAUUGGGCGUAAAGCGCGCGCAGGUGGUUCCUUAAGUCUGAUGUGAAAGCCCCCGGCUCAACCGGGGAGGGUCAUUGGAAACUGGGGAACUUGAGUGCAGAAGAGGAUAGUGGAAUUCCAAGUGUAGCGGUGAAAUGCGUAGAGAUUUGGAGGAACACCAGUGGCGAAGGCGACUGUCUGGUCUGUAACUGACACUGAGGCGCGAAAGCGUGGGGAGCAAACAGGAUUAGAUACCCUGGUAGCCCACGCCGUAAACGAUGAGUGCUAAGUGUUGGGGGGUUUCCGCCCCUCAGUGCUGCAGCUAACGCAUUAAGCACUCCGCCUGGGGAGUACGGUCGCAAGACUGAAACUCAAAUGAAUUGACGGGG
RNAcentral lists this ribosomal RNA (397 nucleotides) under uncultured bacterium. Its description in RNAcentral is "partial 16S ribosomal RNA". It matches the Rfam family "Bacterial small subunit ribosomal RNA", at positions 523 to 918 of the family's 1533-position model. The record is from RNAcentral.